Molecule: long non-coding RNA, 1713 nt
Organism: Neofelis nebulosa (Clouded leopard)
Lineage: Eukaryota; Metazoa; Chordata; Mammalia; Carnivora; Felidae
Exons: 4
Source: RefSeq, a predicted model, not a curated record
AUAAGUAAUUUAAUAAUUUAAUAAUUACAAUAUGUAAUAAUUGUACAAUUAUUAAGCAAUAUCUUUUAGGUGCAGGAUGACCCCGAAUAAGUCAUUAGAUCGGGACUUUUGGUUCAAACUGGCACAAUGUAUUAGAAACUUAAUUUUGUCAUCUGCCCAGUAGGGGCUAAUUUUAAUUUUAUCUACCCAGUCUACCUUGUGACUUUGGAGUGAAGGAAUAUAGUAACAGUUGCAGAAACUUCUCAUGAAAGGUAAGAAAGCUUCCUCAAAGUGUAGGGCAUUGUUUCAUCCUUUGUAGUCCAUCUUUAGCACCUUCACGAAGGGUUGCGUGUGUGUGCGUGUACAUGGACGCACAUACACACAUGUAUGUACACGUACAUGCAACAUCCCCGUGUCCUGGAGAAGCCAGGGUACGCUAGGGCAGCAUUCUCUAUGCCAUAGAGAGACCGCUUCACCAUAGGCAUGCAGGUCCCAGGGCAGCCGUGACCUCAGCCUCCUCUUUGGGCUGUCAAGGCUUCCUGACACGUUCUUAGGGGGAUUGAAUGAGCUUCGUGUCUUGUUUCUGCUUCUGCCCUUGGAUGCCUUCUGUGGAUGUCAUUUCUAGGUACGGGAUAUCACUGGGGAGUGGGUGGCCCCGGAGAGCCAUGACCACUUCCCAGCUCUCAGGUGAGAGUAUUUCAUACCGAUGUCAGUUUUUUUUAGAGGAGCCAUUGGCAGGAUAUAGCACCCUCGGAGGGUGGGUGGCCCUUCUCAAUGGCUCUCUUGAAUUCCUCUUAACCCUCCUUUACCUCCUUCCCCACGUUGAAAUGUUCAGGACUGAAAGGUGUUGUGGGCGCCUCGUUCCUGCUCCAGGGUUGGGUCUCUUCCCAGUGGGGAAGGGCUGCCAACUCUUACAAAGGCUUGACUGUGUGUGCGGCAGGACUGGGCUGGCCCAGAAGGGGCACGCAGCUCUGUGCUGCCAGAGAGGAAGCUCUAGGAGGAACGGUCAAAUGGGAAGAAAGGCUGUCCCUGAGUGUGCUGUCGAGUCCUAGAAGGGGAUUUCAGUCAAAACACGAAAAGUUUCAAUUGUCUCUGGUCAGUGGCAGUUGGGAUGCAGAUGAUCUUCCCUGUGAGAUGUGGUCAGAAGGUCAAUAUUGAUGGUCAGCUAUGUCACAACAGCUACAUCAUUCGCUGCACUGCGUCUCAUCACAUUGGCAUUUCGUCAUCUCACAUCAUCGUAAGGAGGGUCAUGAAAUCCAGAGCCGCAAAUGUGAGUGGGUUCACACCACGUUUCCAGUGACCAGGAAUGCACAGCGAGUUUCACAAUGAUAUGUCAUGCAGAAGAUUGAUUCAAUUUACGUCUGAAGGGAGUUCUCUGUGCCUCUUGGAUUUCAGUGUCUGUUUCCUUCCCCACAUUGGGAAAGUUCUCAGGUAUGAUUUGUUCAAGUACACCUUCAGCCUCUUUCUCUCUUCCUCGGGAAUUCCUAUGAUACGGAUAUUGCUCCAUUUGAUUAAAUCACUUAGUUCUCUAAUUCUCCCCUCGUGAUCCUGGAUUUCUUUAUCUCUCUUUUUCUCAGCUUCCUCUUUUUCUAUAAUUUUGUCUUCUAAUCCACCUAUUCUCUCCUCUGCGUCUUCAGUCUCUGGUGUGGCCAACUCCAUUUUAUUUUAAACCUCAUUCAUAGCAUUUUUUCAUUCAUCGUGUCUAUUUUUUAGUUCCUUGAUCUCUGCAGCAAU